RNAcentral lists this ribosomal RNA (442 nucleotides) under uncultured bacterium. RNAcentral describes it as "partial 16S ribosomal RNA". It matches the Rfam family "Bacterial small subunit ribosomal RNA", at positions 338 to 795 of the family's 1533-position model. The record is from RNAcentral.
CCUACGGGAGGCAGCAGUGGGGAAUAUUGGGCAAUGGGCGCAAGCCUGACCCAGCAAUGCCGCGUGAAGGAAGAAGGCUUUCGGGUUGUAAACUUCUUUGACAGGGGAAGAGCAGAAGACGGUACCCUGAAAACAAGCCACGGCUAACUACGUGCCAGCAGCCGCGGUAAUACGUAGGUGGCAAGGGUUGUCCGGAUUUACUGGGUGUAAAGGGCGUGUGGCGGGGAAGGCAAGUCAGAUGUGAAAUCUGGAGGCUCAACCUCCAAAUUGCAUUUGAAACUGUUUUUCUUGAGUACUGGAGAGGCAGACGGAAUUCCUUGUGUAGCGGUGAAAUGCGUAGAUAUAAGGAGGAACACCAGUGGCGAGGGCGGUCUGCUGGACAGCAACUGACGGUGAGGCGCGAAAGCGUGGGGAGCAAACAGGAUUAGAUACCCCUGUAGUC